Molecule: ribosomal RNA, 68 nt
Filed under: uncultured Dermocybe
Lineage: Eukaryota; Fungi; Basidiomycota; Agaricomycetes; Agaricales; Cortinariaceae
Description: partial 28S ribosomal RNA
Rfam family: Eukaryotic large subunit ribosomal RNA
Source: RNAcentral
GUGACCUCAAAUCAGGUAGGACUACCCGCUGAACUAAGCAUAUCAUAAGCGGAGGAAAAGAAACUAAC